Monodelphis domestica (gray short-tailed opossum) is the source of this 5090-nucleotide long non-coding RNA. RefSeq lists it as uncharacterized. NCBI's taxonomy places the organism in Eukaryota, Metazoa, Chordata, Mammalia, Didelphimorphia, Didelphidae. The record is from RefSeq and is a predicted model, not a curated record.
GGGGGGGGGAUUUCUAUUAUUAGAAGAUCCUUUAAACUGGGUCUUUGAACUUAAACUUAAACAUUCCUCAAGCAUCCAAAGUCCAAAAUGUCUUUUUUUGUGAACGAAUGAAGAACUGCUGUGUUAUACUUUGGUCUCUCAACUCCAUGUUUGUGACUUUCUGCAGUGGGGUCCACUGUUCGUGAUCCGAUCCCACUCUACUAGGCUCUCCGCUCUCCGAGGAGUCUGUUAAGGGAAUGUGUGGCCAGCCACAAAUGACGGAUGCUGUUUCUUUCUCUGGCCCACUUUUUAUUAUUUGAUAAAUAGCUAUAAAUUAAAAUACUCCUUCCAGAGGAUUUUAAUACUAACAGUCUCUACACAAAUGCUGGUUUCUAUUUAUUUUUCUCUCACCUUCUCUCUCAUCUGAGAUAUUUGGUAGUAUGGUAUAGUGUUUGGAAAAGUAGUGACUUUGGGGGACUUGAGUUCAAGUCCUAACUCUGGCAUGCAGUAACUGUGCGAGAUUGUGCUCACCACAACCUCCUUUGGCCUUAAUAGCUUCAUUUCUAAAAUUUUCUAAAAAUUCUAAAAAGUGCUGCCUUUGUGAUGGCAAAGCCACUCCCCCCAACGACUCCCUCCACCAUUUGUUUGAGCGGGUUUUUUUACUUUAUCAGCACUUUCAUUCUGCCCCUUACUGUUGACUGCCAGUGGGAACAAAAUUGGGGGCAGCUAACUCCUGAAAAGCAUGUUUUCUUACUUUCUAACCUUCAUUUCCAUGAACAAUAGCUAAUUGUGCCCUUUCAGUAUUCAUUGCUAUUCCACUUGGGAAUGUUAUAAAGCAUAAUAACCAAAUAGAUUCUCAGAGCUGAGGAGCACCUAACAUGGGAGUAUAGGAAGGAAGGAAGGGAUAGAGUAAACUUCAUGCAUUAGCUUUAAGAGGAAAAGAGGAGAAUUUGGAUACAAACCCUGGGAGAAGAUUCUGACAAGGAGAGAAGGAUUGUGGGAGUUUUUACUGGCAUUAACUCUGCCUCCUAUUGUGGCUGAUCUGGAAGGAGGAUCUUUUCUCUGCCUUGGAGUGGACUGUUUUUUUUUUCCCUGAAUUACAGCGAUCAUCUCCCUGAGAUCCAUCUGUCAGAAAUCCACUAGGUGAAGGUAAACCCCAGGGUUCAAUCAUCUGGGACCCCAGGCUUUAGAUAAGGGCUCAAAUACACCUGUGAGUCCUUCCUCAUUAUUCUUUUUUAAAAUCGGGACUAAUUAGUAUAGCAGGAUAGCCAGAUAGAUGGGUUUUCUGGCUCUUAGAGAGGAGUUUAGAAUAGCUUGAGUGAAUUCUCAAGAAGAAGAAAUAAUUCGCUACGAGAUGAAAGAGGGUGAAUGGAGAUUAGAUCUCUCGUUUUAGGAACCUACCUAUCAUUUCCCCUCCAUUCCGAUUAUAAAAAACGAACUUUGUUUCUAGAGCCCAAGGCAUGUGGUGAUUUCCUGGCCCCAAAGAGGUCCCUAGGUUAUCGUAUCCCAUGCAUCCAGGAAGGAUUUUCAUUUCAGGAGAACUCUCUUCUCUGUUUUGCUCUCCACCAUUCCUUCAAUGCACCCCUCUGUCUCUUUCUCAUCCGAUUCUUCCUUUACUUGUCUUUCUGUCUCUGUCAAUCUCUGUCUCUCUCUUAUGAGAAAAUUUAAACAAAAAUAUAAUGGGAAAACGUAGGGUUUAAAAAAAAAACUGCCCCCUCUUUAUGGCCCUUAUCAAGGAAAGUCAAGGAAAGGAAAAGAUAGGAAAGGCAACAUUCUCAAUCAUUUUCUGUGCAAUAAAUUCCUCUAACGCUCUAUGGACGUUUAUGGAGCCUUUUUCAGAAUAAUAAUUUUAAACGUAUGAAACGAUUUCAAAGGAAAUAAAGUGCAGUGAAAUAUUGGUAUGGAUGUCUUAAAGUUCACAGAGCUCAGCUUAGCAAGACUGUUGUAGUGGUAGAUUUCCUUAGCGCAGGCAUUCUUACCUGGAUCUCUGGAUAUUUUGACUAAGAGCAGGUAAAAUUCCAUCUAUUUUUUUACUAAUUUCUGACUGAAAUGUGACGUUUCAAUGAUCGGUUUUUCAAUAUCGAUUGUGCUGUAGAAUGGGUUCAUACCUGAUUCCCAAAGGGGCCCAAGGCCUGAAGGGAGGGGAGGGAAAGACUAAGCCUCUGCUAUUCUCCGCUUCUCCCCUGUCUGCAGAGAGAUGGAGCUGACCCGGAAAGUCGGCCUCAGACUCCUGACCGCAUUCCCUCUCUCUCUCGGCUUUCAUUGAACUAGCAAUCUCGCUCUCGGGGCCUGUGACUCAUCGCAGUGAGCUUUCUCUAGAGACUUCUCUAAGCCCGAGGAGAAAAAGAGAGCUCCCUCCCUUUAACGUCGCCGCAGGCCCCUCUGAAUUCACAGCCUCCACAAGCCCAAUAAUUCUGCCCUGGCCAGCAGCGGGCCCUAGUAGUAGUCCCAGAGCCCACUUUCCCCCCGGAUGGACGGGCUCAGGCCCCAGUCAAGCUCCCCAUUCGAUCUCCUGCUCCGCGGGCAGUGAAUCCGGUCGUUGGCCAGAGGGCCGUCCCUUCACUUCUCCAAGGUCCGCCAACAUUUCCGGUGCUCGAAGGCGCUGUCCGCUUGUCCCUCCCCCUUUGGGCCGCCCCGCCCACUAGACCAUGCCCGCCGCCUCCUCCCUGUUGAACAAAAUCCGUGCCCUGAAGCAAGCCCUGGCGUUCAUUUUUGCGUUUAGUCUCCUCACUGUCCCCCCGAAAUGGAGGAGGCUGGCGGGACACAGCUCUGGCUCCGGGACACAUUAUGACCGUCGGCCGGCGGCGUCUGCUUAAAAAGCCCUGGAAAGACGCAAGCAGGCGCGCUCACCAAGCGGAGCUACCCAGCCGGCACACAUUGAAGUGCAUCCAUACAUUUAGGGAAUAUUUAUUAAGCAUCUUCAGGAUGCCUGACACUGCACUAAUUCCUAAAGUGACAAGGAAAAGUGAUAGGGGAAAAGGUCCUCAAGAUGAGUGUGCACAGAGACACUUGCGCGUGAAGGAGAUUUAAGUGGAAGAGUCGGUGCACAGAGACAGUCCCACCCUCUUGGCGUUGGAAGCCUGGGUCCAGUGGCACGAAAAGUCGUUACACCUGGAGACUUCCUCAGCUGCAUUGGAUGGCCAUGUUGUCUUUUGUGCUCCAACACGCCCUGAUCACUCCACAGUGCUUUGCUGCGUCGCCCUCUCAGCCGUUGAACCUUCUUGUUGGUUUCUUCCACCUGUUCGGCCGAAGCAGUCUUCACAUGCUGGGUGAGCAAAGCCCUGGUUCACCAGGGGUCGACGACCCGAUGGCUACCCUCACAAGGUUUAGCCGGCCUGUCGAAGCCGUUGCCCGGGGUGUGGCCGCUGCCGCAUGCUAGCAGCUACUGGGAGCCACAAGUGAGAGCUGGGUGUCAGGUUAGGGUCAGAGGCUGGAGAGCUGCCCUCGGAGGGCACGACAAGCCCUCCAUACCAGAGAUACUACCCCUCCCUGAGCACCCCCUACACCCCAGUUAGUUGUAGUACUAAAGAGUAAAAAGCCAAAUGAUUUUUUAAAAAGAAACAUGUUUAAAGGGUGAUAAAAGAAAUAAUAAUGUUAUAUACAUAGUAUUAUAUUUAAUGAAUAUUGACAUAGGCAGAAUAUAAAAGAAAACAGGAGAAAUUAAAAUGAAUCUAGGAUACAUUAGAAUAGCAAUUUAAAUAGAAAGAGAAGCAUUAUUACUCCAUUGUACUAAUAGCUCUCUGAAGAUGUUGAUUAAUUUUAGGUGGCUAUUAACUUGUUCAGUCCAACAGUAGAGCAGUUAUAAAACUAUUGCCUUCUGUAUUUAUUAAGCAAUUUUUUUCAAGUUUACAAAUGUAUUCUAGUUAUUUACAAGAAGGAAUUUCUGCAUUGGACAAAUGUAUAACAAAUUCAGAAAAAUUUGGUAUUUAGUAUUUUAGUAUUUUAGUAUUCUCUGGAAUUUAUUUUUGAAAACCACAAAUAAAAACAUCAUGAAACUAACAUAAUAGUUUUUAGAUCAAAACUUUAAUGAAGGGGAUUAGCUUAGCAGAAAAGGGGUACUGCUAGGCAGAAUGAUGUUUUAUAACUGUCUCUUUAAAACAAAAUUUUUUAAUAUUCAUACCUUUUUCUAUUUCCUCCACAUAGAACCCUCCCUUAUAAAAAUUAGUAGUCAAGAAAAAAUGUAACUCACCUCUGAAAAUGUAUACAUUAAUCAAUAGCUGUACCCCACCUCUUUAUUCUCAAGAAGAAAAAUGGGGGACAAUGUAUUACCUCAGAUCUCUGAAGACAUUAUUGAACACUGUGUCAAAGUUCAUGGAUUUUAUCUGUAAGGUUGUGGAGACAUCUAAUCCCACCACUUCCUUUUAUAGCUGAGGAAAUUGAAGGUCCCAGAAGUUAAGUGACUGGACUAAGGCCACAUAAGUAAUAGAACAUGAACAUAAAAAUUGGCAUUUCUAUUUCAAAUAUACCACUCCACCUGAAAAUAGAAAAAAAAAAGAAAAUAUUUUCUUUUACAUAUUGUUAUGGUCAUGGUAUAAAUUUUUCUCCUGGUUCUGUUUACUUCACUCUAAGUCCAUUCAUAUAAAAUUACCCAUUUUCUCUGAAAUCUUGAUAUUUGUUAUUCCUUAGGUUGCAUUUCACUAUAUUAAUUUACCACAGUUUAUUAAACCGUUCUUCAAAUAAUGGAAUUCCCUUUUAUUUCUAGAUAUUCAAAACUAAAAGAGUACAGACAUUCCCAUAUAUCUGUGGCCUUACACUCUGUCAUUUACCUCUUUGGAAAAAUCUACUUGGUAGUAGUAUUGCUCUAAUAAUUGCUCAACACUUGUUUUUAAAGAGGAUCUAAAUAAAAAAGGCACACAUAUUUUGUAUAGAGUAGUGAACUCAGAGUGAAGGAAAUAUGAGUCUUAAUAAUAUCUCAAAUAUUUACUAGUUGCAUUACCCUGGACAAAUCAUUUAAUCUUUCUGUGACUCACGGACUUUUUUGUCUGAAAAAAUGACUCUUUUGACUCUAAAUCUUUGAUCUUCAGAUUUGAAAAUGUUAUCAGUGAGUGUAUAAUCUUGAAUCCCUGCACUUUGAGUAAAUUACUAAAAUAAAAAGUAAUUCAUUUUUUUUA